Neopsephotus bourkii (Bourke's parrot) is the source of this 402-nucleotide long non-coding RNA. RefSeq lists it as uncharacterized. The record is from RefSeq and is a predicted model, not a curated record. Lineage: Eukaryota; Metazoa; Chordata; Aves; Psittaciformes; Psittacidae. The transcript has 2 exons.
GUAAGGAAAAAGCCACAUCAAAAUGUUGCAUAACCAGAACAUCCACAAAAGUUGAUUAUUCUAAGAUUCUAAUCAUGUUUCAUAUUAAGGAAUACCAUACCACAAGUUGCUGAGCAUUCAAAUCCUAAAAGAAAACAUACCACUGUCUCCAGAGAUGCUGUGUCAACAAAAAUUCCUUCUGCUGGCAUGAUACAAUAUCUGUUUAACUAAUCAGGAGGAAAUUUAUCAUGCAGGAUUUGGUGGGGUUGUUUAUGGAGUCGUUAGCACAAUGGCACUCAGCUCUCAGAUGUCAGUGUUGCUCUUCAGAAGAUGAAAUGCUGCAGCUGGUUGGGAAAUGAAUGAAGGCCAAAACCUGAGCUAUAAAAUAGGGGACUUAAUCCAAAUAAAUCCUAUUGCUAGGAA